CUACACCAUCCACCACCAUUCAUUAAAAUUGCUAAAAACAUUAUCACUCACUGUCCCAAGUGUUGUUAUUCUCUCUCUCCAUAAAGAUUCAAUACAGAAGAGGCAUGGGUUAUGUAAAAAUAUGCGAGAAAAUAAAAAGGGGCAAGUGCCCAGAACCUCGAAAAAGAAAGAAAAAAAGAGUGAGGUGAGAGGUAAAAAUGGACAAGUGUCCAGAGUAGAAUUAGGGGUACAAAGAUGCCCGCUUGAGAGGAAAAAAUGGAGAAGUGUCCGAUAGUAGAAUUAGGGGUAUUUACUACCCACC
Molecule: long non-coding RNA, 301 nt
Filed under: Sorghum bicolor (sorghum)
Lineage: Eukaryota; Viridiplantae; Streptophyta; Magnoliopsida; Poales; Poaceae
Description: long non-coding RNA (SBIC_LNC005458)
Source: RNAcentral